CUUCUUGAUUAAUAAGAAGUCGGUCCUGUUCACUGAUAAUUUAAAGAACUGCGGUAUAUUGACCGUGCAAAGGUAGCAUAAUCAUUAGUUUUUUAAUUGAAAGCUGGUAUGAAUGGUUUGACGAAAUUUUCACUGUCUCUGUUAUAUGUAUUGAAUUUUAUUUUUAAGUUAAAAAGCUUAAAUGAUUUUGGGGGACGAGAAGACCCUAUAGAUUUUUAUAUAUUUGUAUUAAAUAAAUUAUUUUGUUUAAUAUUAUUUUUUAAUUUAAAUGUAUUUUAUUGGGGUGAUAUGGAAAAUAUUUAACUUUCUUGGUAGUUAACAAUAAUAAUUGAAUAAUAGAUCCUUUAUUAUGGAUUUUAGAUUAAAAUACCUUAGGGAUAACAGCGUUAUUUUAUUUGAGAGUUCUUAUUGAUAAUAAAGAUUGCGACCUCGAUGUUGGAUUAAGAUUACUUAUUAAUGAAGAAGUUAAUAUAGUUGGUCUGUUC
This 485-nucleotide ribosomal RNA is filed under the name Euscyrtus aff. bipunctatus ICCM-2015. RNAcentral's name for it is "partial 16S ribosomal RNA". It matches the Rfam family "Archaeal large subunit ribosomal RNA", at positions 1911 to 2651 of the family's 2987-position model. The record is from RNAcentral. Lineage: Eukaryota; Metazoa; Arthropoda; Insecta; Orthoptera; Gryllidae.